This is a long non-coding RNA of Triticum aestivum (bread wheat), 2413 nucleotides long. RefSeq lists it as uncharacterized. The record is from RefSeq and is a predicted model, not a curated record. The transcript has 6 exons. NCBI's taxonomy places the organism in Eukaryota, Viridiplantae, Streptophyta, Magnoliopsida, Poales, Poaceae.
CCGCACUCCCGCCGGCCCCUCUCCUCUCUCUCCCUCCAAACCCUAGCUAGACCGCGCCCGCCUCCCUUCCCUGCCGCUGUCGUCUCCUCCACCCGGCCAGCCGCCGCCAUACCUCCUCCACCCAGCCAGCCGUCGCCACUCGCGCCCGUCUCCUCCGUCCGGCCUCCGCCCACGAAGAGGGAGAGCGAGCGGGUCAGGCGACGGGAAGGGAAGAGGAGAGGGAGAGCGAGCGGGUCAGGCGACGGGAAGGGAAGAGGAGAGGGAGAGCGAGCGGGUUAGGUGACGGCCAUGGCCAUGGCGCACGCAGAUCCGCCCGCCCCGUCAUCGCCGCUGCGCUCGCAGGUGAGCGGCGCCGACCUAACGGAUCUUCCUCGUCGUCAACCCGGCGUACUGGUGUGGUGGAUCCGCCUCCUCUCUGUUUCAACCAUGGUUGUGCUCUUUCAUGUGCGCGGCCCUCUCCGUGACAACUGCAGCCCAAGGUCGUCAAAUCCGUCACCGUCGCCAUUCUUCUGCUCGAGGCCUUUGCCACCAUGGAUGGAUGCGGGCAAGGCCAGCCUCCCCCUCCCCACGCAUAGGUGACUAUGGGAGUUGCAUUGACAGAGUCCAUGUAUUAAACUGGGGCAUUUUUGGCAACUGCAGCAACCUGACAAUUAAUUCGUUCUCAUCCAAGGUUUACCGCUCGUCUUGCUAAUGUUAAUUUGUAUGUUUGUUCAUGGCUUGCUUCCCAACCACAUGUGCUCCCCACGGUGAGGAACGGACAUGCUCAACGCCUUCCUUCCCAACCAGAUAUGAGAAAGAAGAAAUAGGACCAAGAAAAUUAGUUGCUCAUAUAUUCAUCUGUCUUGCGGAGAAGAACCCGAAUGGAGAACUUGGUAUGCCGAGUAAUGUGCAGGUUGCUUUUGUCCUCUCACCUGCUCUUUGGUCUUCGUCUAUUGCUCUGCUGGCUCGUCAUCUCCUUGGUUGGAGAUGAACAAUCCUAUAUCCGCAAUGAAAGGCAAGGGACAAGCUCCUGUGACUAAAUACCUAGGUAUUUCAAUCAUCCUUGUGCACUGCUCCUGUAGCCCACUUCCAAGACUCUAUGUACUAUGAGCUGUUUUACCAUGCUUACAUCAGAGCUCAAAAGUAGAUGUCAUCAGCAAGUAGGUGAUACAUGUCAGUCUGAUUUAGCAUGUUAGAAUUGCUCACAACAUUUCUUUCGGCAUGCCAAUGAAAAUGGCCCUUCCCGUUCUGAGGUUCAUUAUGUUUAUUGAAGUCCUCACCAUCUUUAUAUUCAUUACAUAUUCUCAAUAGCUUAUUUCUUAAUACCUAAAAUGAAUACCAGGAGCUCAUUCUUACCUCUCCAAUUUAUCCUUAUUUGAGUAUUAAGGGCACCUACAUUUCUUUGGCUCUGUAUGACUGAUCAAAUUAACACACCUCAAUCAUAGUAAAAUCUGAAAGGAGAUGUAAAAGAAUCAAAGAAAAGUAGAGAUGCACAAUAUUUUUUGAUUUUUAGGGAUUGUUCUUGGGUUCAGCUUUUGCUGGCAUGUUGUCAUUACAGAGUUACCCUAUCUCUUUGAAUCGUCAUAUGUACUCCAGCCUCUUAUAGAUUAUGCAACUAGCUAAUGGUUGGAACUUUAAUACUUAGCUUUAUUUACAGGUAGCACAACCUCAUGUUAGUUGCCAUUUUAUUGCUACAGAUAUGGUUUUGUUCUGAUUGUAUAUGUGAUGAUUUUAUCCAUGUGUAUGUAUGUGGUCUUCAAAGUUGUUGAAAGAUUGAAAGCGUAAGCAAGUUCGCCAAAUUCCUUCGGUAAGUCAUAUAUUCUUGUGUCUCUUUCCUAUGUUUUAGAGGUUUAUAGAAGAUAUGAGGUAGAAUAUUUCCUUUUCAGUAUAUCUGAAAUUAUAUGGGAGAGAUUACUAGCUCACACAUAUAGUUCGAUUAUUAGCUUUCUAAAUAAGUUCAGCCCUAGAGCACAUAUUUUUGCAUCCAUUGCUUAUUUAAUCCAUUGGUAUCUAUUUUCUCCGGUUCAUAUAGUAUGUUUACAUUUGACUUGGAAUUGUCUGUACUUUUGUUCUGCUUUUGUUUCAAGGUACUUUCAAAGAAAUCAAUGUCCCAUCUGUCUAUGGAAAACUCUAAGAAGGCUCGAUUGGCACAUGAAGCUCUUAAAUACUUGAGAGCCUUUUACAACAAGGUCCUAUAAGACUACAUACAUAUAUUACACCGGUUGUCCCAGCUCAUAGUUAGUUGUCAUGAGUCCGGUUGGUUGAACAAGGUCCUAUAAGACUACAUACAUAUAUUGCUACAGAUAUGGUGUUGCCAUUUUAUUGCUACAGAUAUGGUUGUUCUGAUUGUAUACAUACAUAUAAUUCUGCAGUUUGUUCACGCCCGAAUAAUAUUAAUGUAUACUCUUACAAUACAUGGCUUGCUCUCGGCCUU